UACGUAGGUGGCAAGCGUUGUCCGGAUUUAUUGGGUUUAAAGGGUGCGUAGGCGGUCUAUUAAGUCAGCGGUGAAAUACUCCAGCUUAACUGGAGGGGUGCCAUUGAUACUGAUGGACUUGGGUCAAGUCGAGGUAGGCGGAAUUGACGGUGUAGCGGUGAAAUGCUUAGAUAUCGUCAAGAACACCAAUAGUGAAGACAGCUUACUGGGCUUAAACUGACGCUGAGGCACGAAAGUGUGGGGAUCAAACAGG
Molecule: ribosomal RNA, 253 nt
Filed under: uncultured bacterium
Lineage: Bacteria
Description: partial 16S ribosomal RNA
Rfam family: Bacterial small subunit ribosomal RNA
Source: RNAcentral